Molecule: ribosomal RNA, 468 nt
Filed under: uncultured bacterium
Lineage: Bacteria
Description: partial 16S ribosomal RNA
Rfam family: Bacterial small subunit ribosomal RNA
Source: RNAcentral
GACGAACGCUGGCGGCGUGCUUAACACAUGCAAGUCGAACGGAAAGGCCCUGCUUUUGUGGGGUGCUCGAGUGGCGAACGGGUGAGUAACACGUGAGUAACCUGCCCUUGACUUUGGGAUAACUUCUGGAAACUGGGGCUAAUACCGGAUAGGAGCUCCUGCUGCAUGGUGGGGGUUGGAAAGUUUCGGCGGUUGGGGAUGGACUCGCGGCUUAUCAGCUUGUUGGUGGGGUAGUGGCUUACCAAGGCUUUGACGGGUAGCCGGCCUGAGAGGGUGACCGGCCACAUUGGGACUGAGAUACGGCCCAGACUCCUACGGGAGGCAGCAGUGGGGAAUAUUGCACAAUGGGCGGAAGCCUGAUGCAGCAACGCCGCGUGCGGGAUGACGGCCUUCGGGUUGUAAACCGCUUUCGCCUGGGACGAAGCGUGAGUGACGGUAAUGGGUAAAGAAGCACCGGCUAACUACGUG